RNAcentral lists this ribosomal RNA (182 nucleotides) under uncultured bacterium. RNAcentral's name for it is "partial 16S ribosomal RNA". It matches the Rfam family "Bacterial small subunit ribosomal RNA", at positions 1319 to 1500 of the family's 1533-position model. The record is from RNAcentral.
UAUGAAGUCGGAAUUGCUAGUAAUCGCGGAUCAGCAUGCCGCGGUGAAUACGUUCCCGGGCCUUGUACACACCGCCCGUCACACCAUGAGAGUCGAUAACACCCGAAGCCUGUAGUCUAACAGCAAUGAGGACGCAGUCGAAGGUGGGAUUGAUAAUUAGGGUGAAGUCGUAACAAGGUACC